This 73-nucleotide transfer RNA is filed under the name Candidatus Methanomassiliicoccus intestinalis Issoire-Mx1. Its description in RNAcentral is "tRNA-Asn (GTT) (tRNA-Asn-GTT-1-1)". It matches the Rfam family "tRNA". From Rfam's summary of the family: Transfer RNA (tRNA) molecules are approximately 80 nucleotides in length. Their secondary structure includes four short double-helical elements and three loops (D, anti-codon, and T loops). The record is from RNAcentral. Lineage: Archaea; Methanobacteriati; Thermoplasmatota; Thermoplasmata; Methanomassiliicoccales; Methanomassiliicoccaceae. RNAcentral also lists the same sequence under 1 other name.
GCCGUCGUAGCUCAGCUGGUAGAGCGUAUGACUGUUAAUCAUAAGGUCAACGGUUCGAACCCGUUCGACGGCG